This 253-nucleotide ribosomal RNA is filed under the name uncultured bacterium. RNAcentral describes it as "partial 16S ribosomal RNA". It matches the Rfam family "Bacterial small subunit ribosomal RNA", at positions 524 to 776 of the family's 1533-position model. The record is from RNAcentral.
UACGUAGGUGGCAAGCGUUGUCCGGAUUUAUUGGGGUUAAAGGGUGCGUAGGCGGCUUUGUAAGUCAGUGGUGAAAUAUGGCAGCUUAACUGUCAAGGUGCCAUUGAUACUGCGGAGCUUGAGUACAGAUGAGGUAGGCGGAAUUGACGGUGUAGCGGUGAAAUGCUUAGAUAUCGUCAAGAACACCUAUAGCGAAGGCAGCUUACUAGGCUGUAACUGACGCUGAGGCACGAAAGUGUGGGGAUCAAACAGG